RNAcentral lists this ribosomal RNA (2904 nucleotides) under Escherichia coli. RNAcentral's name for it is "23S ribosomal RNA". It matches the Rfam family "Bacterial large subunit ribosomal RNA". The record is from RNAcentral. Lineage: Bacteria; Pseudomonadati; Pseudomonadota; Gammaproteobacteria; Enterobacterales; Enterobacteriaceae.
GGUUAAGCGACUAAGCGUACACGGUGGAUGCCCUGGCAGUCAGAGGCGAUGAAGGACGUGCUAAUCUGCGAUAAGCGUCGGUAAGGUGAUAUGAACCGUUAUAACCGGCGAUUUCCGAAUGGGGAAACCCAGUGUGUUUCGACACACUAUCAUUAACUGAAUCCAUAGGUUAAUGAGGCGAACCGGGGGAACUGAAACAUCUAAGUACCCCGAGGAAAAGAAAUCAACCGAGAUUCCCCCAGUAGCGGCGAGCGAACGGGGAGCAGCCCAGAGCCUGAAUCAGUGUGUGUGUUAGUGGAAGCGUCUGGAAAGGCGCGCGAUACAGGGUGACAGCCCCGUACACAAAAAUGCACAUGCUGUGAGCUCGAUGAGUAGGGCGGGACACGUGGUAUCCUGUCUGAAUAUGGGGGGACCAUCCUCCAAGGCUAAAUACUCCUGACUGACCGAUAGUGAACCAGUACCGUGAGGGAAAGGCGAAAAGAACCCCGGCGAGGGGAGUGAAAAAGAACCUGAAACCGUGUACGUACAAGCAGUGGGAGCACGCUUCGGCGUGUGACUGCGUACCUUUUGUAUAAUGGGUCAGCGACUUAUAUUCUGUAGCAAGGUUAACCGAAUAGGGGAGCCGAAGGGAAACCGAGUCUUAACUGGGCGUUAAGUUGCAGGGUAUAGACCCGAAACCCGGUGAUCUAGCCAUGGGCAGGUUGAAGGUUGGGUAACACUAACUGGAGGACCGAACCGACUAAUGUUGAAAAAUUAGCGGAUGACUUGUGGCUGGGGGUGAAAGGCCAAUCAAACCGGGAGAUAGCUGGUUCUCCCCGAAAGCUAUUUAGGUAGCGCCUCGUGAAUUCAUCUCCGGGGGUAGAGCACUGUUUCGGCAAGGGGGUCAUCCCGACUUACCAACCCGAUGCAAACUGCGAAUACCGGAGAAUGUUAUCACGGGAGACACACGGCGGGUGCUAACGUCCGUCGUGAAGAGGGAAACAACCCAGACCGCCAGCUAAGGUCCCAAAGUCAUGGUUAAGUGGGAAACGAUGUGGGAAGGCCCAGACAGCCAGGAUGUUGGCUUAGAAGCAGCCAUCAUUUAAAGAAAGCGUAAUAGCUCACUGGUCGAGUCGGCCUGCGCGGAAGAUGUAACGGGGCUAAACCAUGCACCGAAGCUGCGGCAGCGACGCUUAUGCGUUGUUGGGUAGGGGAGCGUUCUGUAAGCCUGUGAAGGUGUGCUGUGAGGCAUGCUGGAGGUAUCAGAAGUGCGAAUGCUGACAUAAGUAACGAUAAAGCGGGUGAAAAGCCCGCUCGCCGGAAGACCAAGGGUUCCUGUCCAACGUUAAUCGGGGCAGGGUGAGUCGACCCCUAAGGCGAGGCCGAAAGGCGUAGUCGAUGGGAAACAGGUUAAUAUUCCUGUACUUGGUGUUACUGCGAAGGGGGGACGGAGAAGGCUAUGUUGGCCGGGCGACGGUUGUCCCGGUUUAAGCGUGUAGGCUGGUUUUCCAGGCAAAUCCGGAAAAUCAAGGCUGAGGCGUGAUGACGAAGCACUACGGUGCUGAAGCAACAAAUGCCCUGCUUCCAGGAAAAGCCUCUAAGCAUCAGGUAACAUCAAAUCGUACCCCAAACCGACACAGGUGGUCAGGUAGAGAAUACCAAGGCGCUUGAGAGAACUCGGGUGAAGGAACUAGGCAAAAUGGUGCCGUAACUUCGGGAGAAGGCACGCUGAUAUGUAGGUGAAGUCCCUUGCGGAUGGAGCUGAAAUCAGUCGAAGAUACCAGCUGGCUGCAACUGUUUAUUAAAAACACAGCACUGUGCAAACACGAAAGUGGACGUAUACGGUGUGACGCCUGCCCGGUGCCGGAAGGUUAAUUGAUGGGGUCAGCGCAAGCGAAGCUCUUGAUCGAAGCCCCGGUAAACGGCGGCCGUAACUAUAACGGUCCUAAGGUAGCGAAAUUCCUUGUCGGGUAAGUUCCGACCUGCACGAAUGGCGUAAUGAUGGCCAGGCUGUCUCCACCCGAGACUCAGUGAAAUUGAACUCGCUGUGAAGAUGCAGUGUACCCGCGGCAAGACGGAAAGACCCCGUGAACCUUUACUAUAGCUUGACACUGAACAUUGAGCCUUGAUGUGUAGGAUAGGUGGGAGGCUUUGAAGUGUGGACGCCAGUCUGCAUGGAGCCGACCUUGAAAUACCACCCUUUAAUGUUUGAUGUUCUAACGUUGACCCGUAAUCCGGGUUGCGGACAGUGUCUGGUGGGUAGUUUGACUGGGGCGGUCUCCUCCUAAAGAGUAACGGAGGAGCACGAAGGUUGGCUAAUCCUGGUCGGACAUCAGGAGGUUAGUGCAAUGGCAUAAGCCAGCUUGACUGCGAGCGUGACGGCGCGAGCAGGUGCGAAAGCAGGUCAUAGUGAUCCGGUGGUUCUGAAUGGAAGGGCCAUCGCUCAACGGAUAAAAGGUACUCCGGGGAUAACAGGCUGAUACCGCCCAAGAGUUCAUAUCGACGGCGGUGUUUGGCACCUCGAUGUCGGCUCAUCACAUCCUGGGGCUGAAGUAGGUCCCAAGGGUAUGGCUGUUCGCCAUUUAAAGUGGUACGCGAGCUGGGUUUAGAACGUCGUGAGACAGUUCGGUCCCUAUCUGCCGUGGGCGCUGGAGAACUGAGGGGGGCUGCUCCUAGUACGAGAGGACCGGAGUGGACGCAUCACUGGUGUUCGGGUUGUCAUGCCAAUGGCACUGCCCGGUAGCUAAAUGCGGAAGAGAUAAGUGCUGAAAGCAUCUAAGCACGAAACUUGCCCCGAGAUGAGUUCUCCCUGACUCCUUGAGAGUCCUGAAGGAACGUUGAAGACGACGACGUUGAUAGGCCGGGUGUGUAAGCGCAGCGAUGCGUUGAGCUAACCGGUACUAAUGAACCGUGAGGCUUAACCUU